Molecule: ribosomal RNA, 253 nt
Filed under: uncultured bacterium
Lineage: Bacteria
Description: partial 16S ribosomal RNA
Rfam family: Bacterial small subunit ribosomal RNA
Source: RNAcentral
GACGUAGGGGGCGAGCGUUGUCCGGAAUUACUGGGCGUAAAGCGCGUGCAGGCGGCCUGGUAAGUCCCGUGUGAAAGCCUACGGCUCAACUGUAGGAGGUCGCGGGAUACUGCUGGGCUCGAGGGCAGGAGAGGGAAGUAGAAUUCCCGGUGUAGCGGUGAAAUGCGUAGAUAUCGGGAGGAAUGCCAGUGGCGAAGGCGGCUUCCUGGCCUGUCCCUGACGCUGAGACGCGAAAGCUGGGGGAGCGAACGGG